Long non-coding RNA from Anguilla rostrata (American eel), 2002 nucleotides. RefSeq lists it as uncharacterized. The record is from RefSeq and is a predicted model, not a curated record. Lineage: Eukaryota; Metazoa; Chordata; Actinopteri; Anguilliformes; Anguillidae. The transcript is spliced from 2 exons.
GCAUUGCCGAGACCAGUCCGCCUCUCCGGUGGACCGAAUGCCACAAUGUGUGUGUAUGUAUGUGUAUAUAUAUAUAUAUAUAUGUGUAUAUGUGUGUCUGUGUAUGUAUACAUAUAUAUAUAUGUAUAUGUGUGUGUAUAUACAUACAUAUAUAUAUAUAUAUAUAUAUAUAUACAUACACAUCACACACACACAUACACACACAUAUAGACAUAUAUAUAUAUAUAUAUAUAUAUAUAAACAAUGAUCACAAAUUCUCAUCAGAAAUUAGGUUCUCACUUGUCUUGAACAUUAAACACCAAUGGAAAGCACCAUGAGGAAUGGACACAUGUACAUUUAAUUCAUGCUGACUUAAAGCCAUGUUCCUGAGGAUUUUAAAUGCACGGUUUCAGUUGUUCCCAAUCUUAGAUCUGGACAUAAAGGUAGAGUAUAAUUGAUCUGUGUACUGUAUAUAUUAGUGCAUUGAUGCCCAGUAUGCUGGAUCAGUCAGUUAGAAAUUUCAAUAAAAAUGAGAAAUGCAAAUGUUAUAUUUAGACCAAAACAAAAAAGGGACAAGAACAGUUUUUAAUUGUGUGAGUAUCAUGUGUUUUAGCACCUAUGUUUGUUAGGUGCUUUAUCUAAAAAGCACCAAAUUGUUAAGCCGCUUACAACAAUAGUCCAGAAAAAAGUGUGCCCUAUUGUAGCUAUGAGUACAAGUUUGUGCUGCUACAUUUGUAGUUGUAUUUUAAGGAAUGAAACAACCAAAGGUAUGCUGGGAUAUCUUCAUUGUAAUUCUUCAAAGAGUUAAUGUGUAUACUCUGGCAUUUUCACCACAGUUUGGAAUGCCCAGUUGCAGAUGUAGGGCCAUACCAUCACAGCAGCAUUCUCAGUCAAUUUGGGAAGGUUGCUCUCUAUCACACAGGUCUUCUGAAAUGUACACACUACACAGCUGACUGAACACUUCUUUUUUCACUCUGUAAUGUGCCAUUCUGUGCCACAAGGCUGAGCCGCUGGUUUGAUCAGCCCGAGAAGGCCCUGCUGAGUGAUAAGCUGUUAUGCAGACUGAAAUCAUCCCUCCUUCCUUGGGAAACACUUUGGCAAGUUGUGUAACUUCACACUGAAUGUCUGGCCAAUUAAAUACAAGUGCUUAAACUGGACACAAAAGUGUUUAAUUUUCAAAGGGCUGCCCGGGGUGCAUCCUGUUAAAGCGCACAUUAACAACGUAGCAGUUUUCUCCAUCCUGUGGAUUUGUACCCAGUUUGUACCCAGUUUAGGAACUUCUGUUAACUGGCCAGACAUACAGAAAGGACAUCGCUGAAGGAGGUAGGGUUUCAAUCACAAUGAUUCUUCGCCUCUCAUAAUGCAAGAUCAACUGGUAGUUUGGGCACCUGCUAUCUCCCUGUACGAGCUGUGAAUUAAGUGUACUGCUUCAAAGCGUUGACUGCCUACCUCCAUCUACUCUAACUGACCUCAAAAUGAAAAGCAGCAGCAACUGGUGGCUUGCACCCUGGAGAUGUGUGCUUGUCUAUGCUCUCCCAAAGAAAACAUUGGACAGUGAUGGAAAGGCCCAAUGAUUACAACGGACAUUCCAAAUAAAGGAAAAAUGAAAAUAUAUACAUUUACUACAAUGUUUUUGUUCUUGAAAGAAUUAGUCCUCCUCAAAGGAACCUUAUCGCCUGAGUGCAUCCUUUGCAGUCAUCGAUGAUGCAGAUUUAGAUGCACUGCUGUUCCAGUCACUAAAAUAUAACCAUGAUGAACACAAAUAAAUAAGAAUAUAGCUGCACAGAAUGUCCAAAGACUGAGUUGAAAAUUGAAUAUGCAAAUGUGCAUUUUUUUUUCCUGAGAAAUUAUUAGUUCUGUAAUGUCCAGAUAGUUUGUCCAGAGUAAAGCCAAGAGAAAUAAAGUUGGAAGAAAUAUAGACACGCAAUUAAAAUUAACACAUGUACCAUUAAUAAGUUUCUAACUUGCAAAACAAGUUGAUAAUUAAUGUCUACGUUUGAAUUAAAAAAUGUAUUUCAAUCAA